AGAGUUUGAUCCUGGCUCAGGAUGAACUCUUGCGGCGUGCCUAACACAUGCAAGUCGAGCGAUUCUCUUCGGAGAAGAGCGGCGGACGGGUGAGUAACGCGUGGGUAACCUGCCCUGUACACACGGAUAUCAUACCGAAAGGUAUGCUAAUACGAGAUAACAUAAGAAAUUCGCAUGUUUUUCUUAUCAAAGCUCCGGCGGUACAGGAUGGACCCGCGUCUGAUUAGCUAGUUGGUGAGGUAAUGGCUCACCAAGGCGACGAUCAGUAGCCGACCUGAGAGGGUGAUCGGCCACAUUGGAACUGGGACACGGUCCAAACUCCUACGGGAGGCAGCAGUGGGGAAUAUUGCACAAUGGGCGAAAGCCUGAUGCAGCAACGCCGCGUGAGCGAUGAAGGCCUUCGGGUCGUAAAGCUCUGUCCUCAAGGAAGAUAAUGACGGUACUUGAGGAGGAAGCCCCGGCUAACUACGUGCCAGCAGCCGCGGUAAUACGUAGGGGGCUAGCGUUAUCCGGAUUUACUGGGCGUAAAGGGUGCGUAGGCGGUCUUUUAAGUCAGGAGUGAAAGGCUACGGCUCAACCGUAGUAAGCUCUUGAAACUGGAGGACUUGAGUGCAGGAGAGGAGAGUGGAAUUCCUAGUGUAGCGGUGAAAUGCGUAGAUAUUAGGAGGAACACCAGUAGCGAAGGCGGCUCUCUGGACUGUAACUGACGCUGAGGCACGAAAGCGUGGGGAGCAAACAGGAUUAGAUACCCUGGUAGUCCACGCCGUAAACGAUGAGUACUAGCUGUCGGAGGUUACCCCCUUCGGUGGCGCAGCUAACGCAUUAAGUACUCCGCCUGGGGAGUACGCUCGCAAGAGUGAAACUCAAAGGAAUUGACGGGGACCCGCACAAGUAGCGGAGCAUGUGGUUUAAUUCGAAGCAACGCGAAGAACCUUACCUGAUCUUGACAUCCCGAUGACCGCUUCGUAAUGGAAGCUUUUCUUCGGAACAUCGGUGACAGGUGGUGCAUGGUUGUCGUCAGCUCGUGUCGUGAGAUGUUGGGUUAAGUCCCGCAACGAGCGCAACCCUUAUCUUCAGUAGCCAGCAUUUAGGAUGGGCACUCUGGAGAGACUGCCAGGGAUAACCUGGAGGAAGGUGGGGAUGACGUCAAAUCAUCAUGCCCCUUAUGACCAGGGCUACACACGUGCUACAAUGGCGUAAACAAAGGGAAGCAGAGCCGCGAGGCCGAGCAAAUCUCAAAAAUAACGUCUCAGUUCGGAUUGUAGUCUGCAACUCGACUACAUGAAGCUGGAAUCGCUAGUAAUCGCAGAUCAGAAUGCUGCGGUGAAUACGUUCCCGGGUCUUGCACACACCGCCCGUCA
This 1361-nucleotide ribosomal RNA is filed under the name synthetic construct. RNAcentral describes it as "bacterial SSU rRNA". It matches the Rfam family "Bacterial small subunit ribosomal RNA". RNAcentral also lists the same sequence under 1 other name. The record is from RNAcentral.